UGAGUNUNGUAGAGGGGGGUAGAAUUCCAGGUGUAGCGGUGAAAUGCGUAGAGAUNNGGAGGAAUACNGGUGGCGAAGGCGGCCCCNUGGACGAAGACUGACGCUCAGGUGCGAAAGCGUGGGGAGCAAACAGGAUNAGAUACCCUGGUAGUCCACGCCGUAAACGAUGUCGACUUGGAGGUUGUGCCCNUGAGGCGUGGNUUCCGGAGCUAACGCGUUAAGUCGACCGCCUGGGGAGUACGGCCGCAAGGUUAAAACUCAAAUGAAUUGACGGGGGCCCGCACAAGCGGUGGAGCAUGUGGUUUAAUUCGAUGCAACGCGAAGAACCUUACCUGGUCUUGACAUCCACGGAAGUUUUCAGAGAUGAGAAUGUGCCUUCGGGAACCGUGAGACAGGUGCUGCAUGGCUGUCGUCAGCUCGUGUUGUGAAAUGUUGGGUUAAGUCCCGCAACGAGCGCAACCCUUAUCCUUUGUUGCCAGCGGUCCGGCCGGGAACUCAAAGGAGACUGCCAGUGAUAAACUGGAGGAGGGUGGGGAUGACGUCAAGUCAUCAUGGCCCUUACGACCAGGGCUACACACGUGCUACAAUGGCGCAUACAAAGAGAAGCGACCUCGCGAGAGCAAGCGGACCUCAUAAAGUGCGUCGUAGUCCGGAUUGGAGUCUGCAACUCGACUCCAUGAAGUCGGAAUCGCUAGUAAUCGUGGAUCAGAAUGCCACGGUGAAUACGUUCCCGGGCCUUGUACACACCGCCCGUCACACCAUGGGAGUGGGUUGCAAAAGAAGUAGGUAGCUUAACCUUCGGGAGGGCGCUUACCACUUUGUGAUUCAUGACUGGGGUGAAGUCGUAACAAGGUAACAAUCACUAGUGAAUUCGCGGCCGCCUGCAGGUCGACCAUAUGGGAGAGCUCCNNA
This 912-nucleotide ribosomal RNA is filed under the name uncultured Enterobacteriaceae bacterium. RNAcentral's name for it is "bacterial SSU rRNA". It matches the Rfam family "Bacterial small subunit ribosomal RNA", at positions 642 to 1533 of the family's 1533-position model. The record is from RNAcentral. Lineage: Bacteria; Pseudomonadati; Pseudomonadota; Gammaproteobacteria; Enterobacterales; Enterobacteriaceae.